AGUUGUCUGUCAGUUGUUUCUGAUUUGUCAUUUUCUAGCUCAUGUCUGUCACAGGCCAUCCUUCUCAACACAUAAUCCUCAAGUAGGGGUGUAGACAUUCCUGUUUUGUUAGACUAAGCAGGGUGGAGUAAAUCUAAAAUUCACAGAAUGAGUCAUCAUAUAAAUAAUACAUGUUGUCAUUUGCCUCCAUGGCCAUUGUUUAAUCAACAAAAAGCACAAACCUCCACCUCUUAACCAAAGACCAACAAUAAUAAGAAGCUGUCUUUAAUCGGAUGAUAUCCCAUCUUUUAGCCUAUGACAGUUCAUACACCCAACAGGAAUAAACAAUUUAUAGGAUGGUCAAAAUGGAGAUUUGUCAAGGAAAAUGGGCAUAAAACAUGCUGCAAUCAAGUGAUACUCUCAGUUAACUAUGAAUCUACUAAUAAUAGUGAGUUUUAAAGCAUAUUAAUGAUGAUAUGAAUAGUGGAUCAAUGCAUAGAAUUCUGAGACUGGAAUUGGGAAAACCAGUGUUCAAAUCUACUCUGAUAUUUACUAGUUGUCUGAACCUGGGCAAGUAACUUAAG
RNAcentral lists this long non-coding RNA (563 nucleotides) under Monodelphis domestica (gray short-tailed opossum). RNAcentral describes it as "lncRNA (ENSMODG00000037736.1)". Lineage: Eukaryota; Metazoa; Chordata; Mammalia; Didelphimorphia; Didelphidae. The record is from RNAcentral.